CCUACGGGGCGCAGCAGUGGGGAAUAUUGCACAAUGGGCGAAAGCCUGAUGCAGCAACGCCGCGUGAAGGAAGACGGUUUUCGGAUUGUAAACUUCUGUUCUUAGUGAAGAAUAAUGAAGGUAACUAAGGAGCAAGCCAAGGCUAACUACGUGCCAGCAGCCGCGGUAAUACGUAGGUGGCAAGCGUUGUCCGGAAUUACUGGGUGUAAAGGGAGCGUAGGCGGGAAGACAAGUCAGCUGUGAAAACUACGGGCUUAACCUGUAGACUGCAGUUGAAACUGGCUUUCUAGAGUGAAGUAGAGGUUGGCGGAAUUCCGAGUGUAGCGGUGAAAUGCGUAGAUAUUCGGAAGAACACCGGUGGCGAAGGCGGCUAACUGGGCUUUAACUGACGUUGAGGCUCGAAAGUGUGGGGAGCAAACAGGAUUAGAUACCCCUGUAGUC
RNAcentral lists this ribosomal RNA (441 nucleotides) under uncultured bacterium. RNAcentral's name for it is "partial 16S ribosomal RNA". It matches the Rfam family "Bacterial small subunit ribosomal RNA", at positions 338 to 795 of the family's 1533-position model. The record is from RNAcentral.